RNAcentral lists this long non-coding RNA (1982 nucleotides) under Olea europaea subsp. europaea. Lineage: Eukaryota; Viridiplantae; Streptophyta; Magnoliopsida; Lamiales; Oleaceae. The record is from RNAcentral.
CUGAGGUGGGCAAUUGAACUCGGAGAAUUUGAUAUAGAGUUCAAGCCCCGUCCAUCUAUCAAAGCUCAGGCCUUAGCUGCCUUCAUUGCAGAACUCACCAAGGCCUCGGGGGCUAGAUGGUAGCUCGAGCUCGACCACAGGUGUGUGGAAAAUUUUCGUAGAUGGAGCAUCAAACUCCUCGGGCUCGGGCUCGGGCGCAGGCUAAUCAUAAGCCCGGACAUGCUCAUAAACAUUCAAUGCGCACUCAAGUGCGAAUUUGAGGCGACCAAUAAUGAGGCAGAGUAUGGCCGUCAUCAUAGCCAUGGAACUCGCCAUAAAUCUCGAGCUUGAAAAUAUCAAAAUUUCCAGUGAUUCCCAGUUGGUGGUUGGACAAAUCGAAGGGACGUUCGAAAUGAAGGACGAGAAGAUGAGCUUAUACUGCUUGAAAGUGCAUGAUCUCCAGAGAAAGUUCAAAAGUUGUGAAAUUGUGAAAAUUUCUCGGGUUGAGAAUUGUAAGGCCAAUGCCUUGUCAAGAUUGGUGUUUAGGGGAAUAGAUGGGCUUGACAAGACAAUCCACGUUAGAAUUGUAACCGAGCCAAGCAUCAACCAAACCAUAGACGUCAUGGAUAUUGAUAAUGAGCCAUCGUGGAUGGAUCCAAUAGUGGACUUCAUAAAGUAUGGCAGUCUUCCAGAUGAUCCUCGAGCAUCGAGAAGCAUUCGGUCUAAAGCUCCGAGGUAUUGCAUGAUUGAAGGAGUUUUAUUUCGUAGGAGCCUCACACUUUCAUACCUCAGAUGCCUUAGGCCUUCCGAAUCAUCCCAGGCCUUAGAAGAAGUUCAUGAAGGAGUAUGUGGGAACCAUCAAGAAGCUCAGGCAUUAGCCUUCAAGCUCAUAAAGUAUGGAUAUUAUUGGCCAACCAUGAAGAAAGACGCCCAGGAAUAUGUUAAGAAGUGUGACAAGUGCCAAAGAUUUGGCAAUGUCAUCCACCCUCCAGCAGAGGACUCACUAGCAUUAAUUGCACAGCCCCAUUUGAGCAGUAGGGAAUCGACAUCCUUGGUCCCUUUCCAAUAACUAGGGGGCAAUUGAAGUUUGUGGUUGUGGCUAUAGAAUAUUUCACUAAGUGGGUGGAGGCCGAGCCUUUAGCAACAAUUUCAGAGCCGAAGUUAAGAAGUUUCAUUUGGAGAUCCGUCAUAUGCAGGUUCGAGAUACGAAAGUCCUCAUAACUGAUAAUGGCAGGUAGUUUGACAUGCACAAUUUAAAAACUUCUGUUCCAACCUAGGGAUUGAUCACCAUUUGACGUCGAUUUCCCAUCAUCCAAGUAAUGGUCUCACUGAAGUGACCAAUCGGAUUAUAUUGCAAGACCUCCGUACAAGGAUUGGGGAUGCAAGAGGUUCCUGGUCUGACGAGUUACCUUCCAUACUUUGGACGUAUAGAACGUCCCACAGAACUGCUACGGGGGAAACCCCCUUCAUGUUGGCUUUUGGUAUUGAGGCCACCAUCACUGUUGAAGUCAGGUUGCCCAGCCAAAGAAGGCUUGAGCCUGAAGAUGCAGGGCGCACCACUGAACACCUCGACCUCUUGGAAGAAGUUCGUGAUCGGGUAACUUUAAGAAUGACCUCCUACCAAGAUAAAACAGCAAAGUACUUCAAUAAAAAGUGAGGACGCGGAGAUUCAGAGUUGGAGAACUUGUGUUAAGAAGGGCCGAAGCAGCAAGUCAUGCCCCGGGCAAGCUAGGACCAGUUUGGGAAGGGCCCUUCGAAGUCAUACGAUAGCUCCAAGGAGGCGCAAACAGUUUAAGGGAUACAUCAGGAAGACCACUUCCAAGACCAUGGAACGCCGAAAAUUUAAAGAUAUAUUACAAGUAACUUGGUCUUCCAGUUAUCAGUAGUCAGGCCUGCACGUCAAGGUUCACGUUUUGUAUUCUCAGGCCUGCGUGCCAAGUUUUAUUUUUUGGUAGUCAGGCCUACGUGCCAAGGUUCACGUUUUUAGUUGUCAGGCCUGCGUG